Molecule: ribosomal RNA, 425 nt
Filed under: uncultured soil bacterium
Lineage: Bacteria
Description: bacterial SSU rRNA
Rfam family: Bacterial small subunit ribosomal RNA
Source: RNAcentral
AGAUUGAACGCUGGCGGCAUGCCUUACACAUGCAAGUCGAACGGCAGCACGGGAGCAAUCCUGGUGGCGAGUGGCGAACGGGUGAGUAAUACAUCGGAACGUGCCCAAUCGUGGGGGAUAACGCAGCGAAAGCUGUGCUAAUACCGCAUAAGAUCUACGGAUGAAAGCAGGGGAUCGCAAGACCUUGCGCGAAUGGAGCGGCCGAUGGCAGAUUAGGUAGUUGGUGAGGUAAAGGCUCACCAAGCCUUCGAUCUGUAGCUGGUCUGAGAGGACGACCAGCCACACUGGGACUGAGACACGGCCCAGACUCCUACGGGAGGCAGCAGUGGGGAAUAGUUGGACAAGUGGGACGAAAGCCUAGAUCCAAGCCAUCGCCGCGUGUGUGAAGAAGGUCUUACGGAUUAGAAAGUCUAACGUUUUAAGGU